CGAACCUGGCUGUUGGCACUGUAGACACAUCCACAGUUAAUGUGUUCCUGCAAGUCCUUUGCAAGGAAGAGCCGUGUCUGAGCUGUUCGUCCUGGGAAGGACACCUGGCUGGACCCUUUCUCCCAUAAAACAGCAGCAAAUGAUGGCAUAAGAGAGCAAAGCAUGAGGUGCCUGAAAACCCGUUUGAGGGGCAA
RNAcentral lists this long non-coding RNA (194 nucleotides) under Numida meleagris (helmeted guineafowl). RNAcentral describes it as "lncRNA (ENSNMEG00000020802.1)". Lineage: Eukaryota; Metazoa; Chordata; Aves; Galliformes; Numididae. The record is from RNAcentral.